This 460-nucleotide ribosomal RNA is filed under the name uncultured bacterium. Its description in RNAcentral is "partial 16S ribosomal RNA". It matches the Rfam family "Bacterial small subunit ribosomal RNA", at positions 338 to 795 of the family's 1533-position model. The record is from RNAcentral.
UCUACGGGAGGCAGCAGUGAGGAAUAUUGGUCAAUGGACGAGAGUCUGAACCAGCCAAGUAGCGUGAAGGAUGACUGCCCUAUGGGUUGUAAACUUCUUUUAUAUGGGAAUAAAAUGUUCCACGUGUGGGAUUUUGUAUGUACCAUAUGAAUAAGGAUCGGCUAACUCCGUGCCAGCAGCCGCGGUAAUACGGAGGAUCCGAGCGUUCUCCGGAUUUAAUUGGUUUAAAGGGGGCGUAGGUGGAUUGUUAAGGCAGUUGGGAAAGUGUGCGGCUCAACCGUAAAAUUGCAGUUGAAAAUGGCAGUCGUGAGUACAGUAGAGGUGGGCGGAAUUCGUGGUGUAGCGGUGAAAUGCUUAGAUAUCACGAAGAACUCCGAUUGCGAAGGCAGCUCACUGGACUGCAACUGACACUGAGGCUCGAAAGUGUGGGUAUCAAACAGGAUUAGAUACCCGUGUAGUC